GACGAACGCUGGCGGCGUGCUUAACACAUGCAAGUCGAGCGGUAAGGCCCGUUUCGGGGGUACACGGAGCGGCGAACGGGUGAGUAACACGUGGGUGACCUGCCUUUAGCUCUGGGAUAAGCCUGGGAAACUGGGUCUAAUACCGGAUAUGACCCUAUGGCGCAUGUUGUGGGGUGGAAAGCCUUGUGCGGCUAGGGAUGGGCCCGCGGCCUAUCAGCUUGUUGGUGGGGUGAUGGCCUACCAAGGCGACGACGGGUAGCCGGCCUGAGAGGGCGACCGGCCACACUGGGACUGAGACACGGCCCAGACUCUACGGGAGGCAGCAGUGGGGAAUCUUGCGCAAUGGGCGAAAAGCCUGACGCAGCGACGCCGCGUGAGGGAU
RNAcentral lists this ribosomal RNA (382 nucleotides) under uncultured bacterium. RNAcentral's name for it is "bacterial SSU rRNA". It matches the Rfam family "Bacterial small subunit ribosomal RNA", at positions 28 to 409 of the family's 1533-position model. The record is from RNAcentral.